This 481-nucleotide ribosomal RNA is filed under the name Hypohelion durum. Its description in RNAcentral is "eukaryotic LSU rRNA". The stretch from base 115 to 268 matches the Rfam family "5.8S ribosomal RNA". Lineage: Eukaryota; Fungi; Ascomycota; Leotiomycetes; Rhytismatales; Rhytismataceae. The record is from RNAcentral.
AUUUUUCUUUACCCUUUGUCUACUAGACCUCGUUGCUUCGGCUGGCGCUUGCGCUGGCCAGAGGCCUUAUAACUCUUGAAUGUUGAUGUCUGAGUCGCUAAAGAAAUUAUUUAAAACUUUCAACAACGGAUCUCUUGGUUAGACCAUCGAUGAAGAACGCAGCGAAAUGCGAUAAGUAAUGUGAAUUGCAGAAUCCAGUGAAUCAUCGAAUCUUUGAACGCACAUUGCGCUCCCUGGUAUUCCGGGGAGCAUGCCUGUUCGAGCGUCAUUACAACCCUCACGCCCCGCGUGGUCUUGGGCUGGCCCAGCAGGGCCGGCCUCAAAAGCAGUGGCGGCUCCGUGCGACCCCUAGGCGUAGUAGAACUUCAAACCGCUUCUGGUGGCCGGGCGGCAGCCUGCUAAGCACCCCCACACUUCAAAGGUUGACCUCGGAUCAGGUAGGGAUACCCGCUGAACUUAAGCAUAUCAAUAAGCGGAGGAA